This 463-nucleotide ribosomal RNA is filed under the name uncultured bacterium. Its description in RNAcentral is "partial 16S ribosomal RNA". It matches the Rfam family "Bacterial small subunit ribosomal RNA", at positions 28 to 507 of the family's 1533-position model. The record is from RNAcentral.
GAUGAACGCUGACAGAAUGCUUAACACAUGCAAGUCUUUGGCGAAGCUGUGCUUGCACAGCCUAGCCAAGGCGGACGGGUGAGUAACGCGUAAGGAACUUGCCCUGCAGUCAGGGAUAACAGACGGAAACGACUGAUAAGACCUGGUAAAGUCAGGCGGACUCAUGUCCAGCCUGAUGAAAAGAGAUGCUGCAGGAGAGCCUUGCGUCCUAUUAGCUUGUUGGUGGGGUAACGGCCCACCAAGGCGAUGAUAGGUAGCCGGCCUGAGAGGGUGGACGGCCACAAGGGGACUGAGAUACGGCCCUUACUCCGACGGGAGGCAGCAGUGGGGAAUAUUGGACAAUGGGGGCAACCCUGAUCCAGCAAUUCUGUGUGCACGAUGAAGUUUUUCGGAUUGUAAAGUGCUUUCAGCAGGGAAGAAAAAAAUGACGGUACCUGCAGAAGAAGCGACGGCUAAAUACGUG